RNAcentral lists this ribosomal RNA (530 nucleotides) under uncultured bacterium. RNAcentral's name for it is "partial 16S ribosomal RNA". It matches the Rfam family "Bacterial small subunit ribosomal RNA", at positions 355 to 874 of the family's 1533-position model. The record is from RNAcentral.
UGGGGAAUUUUGGACAAUGGGCGAAAGCCUGAUCCAGCAAUGCCGCGUGUGUGAAGAAGGCCCUUCGGGUUGUAAAGCACUUUUGUCCGGAAAGAAAUCCUUGGCUCUAAUACAGUCGGGGGAUGACGGUACCGGAAGAAUAAGCACCGGCUAACUACGUGCCAGCAGCCGCGGUAAUACGUAGGGUGCAAGCGUUAAUCGGAAUUACUGGGCGUAAAGCGUGCGCAGGCGGUUUGCUAAGACCGAUGUGAAAUCCCCGGGCUCAACCUGGGAACUGCAUUGGUGACUGGCAGGCUAGAGUAUGGCAGAGGGGGGUAGAAUUCCACGUGUAGCAGUGAAAUGCGUAGAGAUGUGGAGGAAUACCGAUGGCGAAGGCAGCCCCCUGGGCCAAAUACUGACGCUCAUGCACGAAAAGCGUGGGGAGCAAACAGGAUUAGAUACCCUGGUAGUCCACGCCCUAAAACGAUGUCAACUAGUUGUUGGGGAUUCAUUUCCUUAGUAACGUAGCUAACGCGUGAAGUUGACCGCCU